RNAcentral lists this ribosomal RNA (401 nucleotides) under uncultured bacterium. RNAcentral describes it as "partial 16S ribosomal RNA". It matches the Rfam family "Bacterial small subunit ribosomal RNA", at positions 338 to 731 of the family's 1533-position model. The record is from RNAcentral.
CCUACGGGUGGCUGCAGUGGGGAAUAUUGGACAAUGGGCGCAAGCCUGAUCCAGCUAUUCCGCGUGAGGGAUGAAGGCCCUCGGGUUGUAAACCACUUUUGUAGAGAACGAAAAGACACCUUCGAAUAAAGGGUGUUGCUGACGGUACUCUAAGAAUAAGCACCGGCUAACUACGUGCCAGCCGCCGCGGUAAUACGUAGGGUGCGAGCGUUAAUCGGAUUUACUGGGCGUAAAGGGUGCGCAGGCGGUUGAGUAAGACAGAUGUGAAGUCCCCGGGCUUAACCCGGGAAUGGCAUAUGUGACUGCUCGACUAGAGUGUGUCAGAGGUAGGUGGAAUUCCACGUGUAGCGGUGAAAUGCGUAGAUAUGUGGAAGAACACCGAUGGCGAAGGCAGCCUCCUG